UCUGGUGUCAGCCGCCGCGGUAAAACCAGCACCUCAAGUGGUCAGGAUGAUUAUUGGGCCUAAAGCAUCCGUAGCCUGCUUUGUUAGUUUUCGGUUAAAUCCAUACGCUCAACGUAUGGGCUGCCGGGAAUACUGCAAAGCUAGGGAGUGGGAGAGGUAGACGGUACUCGGUAGGAAGGGGUAAAAUCCUUUGAUCUAUUGAUGACCACCUGUGGCGAAGGCGGCCUACCAGAACACGUCCGACGGUGAGGGAUGAAAGCUGGGGGAGCAAACCGGAUUAGAUACCCGGGUAGUCCCAGCUGUAAACUAUGCAAACUCGGUGAUGCAUUGGCUUGAUGCCAAUGCAGUGCCGCAGGGAAGCCGUUAAGUUUGCCGCCUGGGAAGUACGUACGCAAGUAUGAAACUUAAAGGAAUUGGCGGGGGAGCACCACAAGGGGUGAAGCCUGCGGUUCAAUUGGAGUCAACGCCAGAAAUCUUACCCGGAGAGACGGCAGAAUGAAGGUCAAGCUGAAGACUUUACCAGACAAGCU
Molecule: ribosomal RNA, 530 nt
Filed under: uncultured Nitrososphaerota archaeon
Lineage: Archaea; Thermoproteati; Nitrososphaerota
Description: bacterial SSU rRNA
Rfam family: Archaeal small subunit ribosomal RNA
Source: RNAcentral